RNAcentral lists this ribosomal RNA (589 nucleotides) under Melampsora sp. NWC-9234. RNAcentral describes it as "eukaryotic LSU rRNA". It matches the Rfam family "Eukaryotic large subunit ribosomal RNA", at positions 82 to 655 of the family's 3401-position model. Lineage: Eukaryota; Fungi; Basidiomycota; Pucciniomycetes; Pucciniales; Melampsoraceae. The record is from RNAcentral.
AAUACGGCGAGUGAACAGGGAGAAGCCCAAAUUUGUAAUCUGGCACUUUUUACGAGUGUCCGAGUUGUAAUUUGUAGAGCUGUUAUCCGUACUGGACCAUGUACAAGUCUGUUGAAAAGCAGCAUCGUUGAAGGUGAAAAUCCUGUAGAUGAUAUGGACUACCAGUAUAUUUGUGAUACGGUUUCUAAGAGUCGAGUUGUUUGGGAAUGCAGCUCAAAGUGGGUGGUAAAUUCCAUCUAAGGCUAAAUAUAAGUGAGAGACCGAUAGCAAACAAGUACCGUGAGGGAAAGAUGAAAAGAACUUUGAAAAUAGAGUUAACAGUACGUGAAAUUGCUGAAAGGGAAACGUUUGAAGUUAGUUUUGUAUUCGUCGGAUCAGCUUCGCAAGGAGUGUAUUCUGAUGAUAAGCAAGUCAACAUCAGUCUAUGAGUGUCGGAGAAGGGUUUUGAGAACGUAGCAAUUUAGUUGUGUUAUAGCUUGAGACUUGGAUACGGUGCUUUGGAUUGAGGAACGCGUAGUAAGCUUUGAGCGGAUUCGAAAGGAUCUCCUUACUAUGGAUGUUGGUGAAAUAACUUUAAGCGACCCGUCUU